This 428-nucleotide ribosomal RNA is filed under the name uncultured bacterium. RNAcentral describes it as "bacterial SSU rRNA". It matches the Rfam family "Bacterial small subunit ribosomal RNA", at positions 355 to 776 of the family's 1533-position model. The record is from RNAcentral.
UUAGGAAUAUUCGUCAAUGGGGGAAACCCUGAACGAGCAAUGCCGCGUGAGUGAUGAAGGUCUUUUGAUUGUAAAACUCUGUUGUUUGGGAAGAACACCCAAAGUAGGAAAUGACUUUGGAUUGACGGUACCAUUCGAGAAAGCCCCGGCUAACUACGUGCCAGCAGCCGCGGUAAUACGUAGGGGGCGAGCGUUGUCCGGAUUUAUUGGGUGUAAAGGGUGCGUAGGCGGUUUGCCAAGUCUGAGGUUAAAUACUGAAGCUCAACUUCAGUUCGCCUUGGAAACUGGCAGACUUGAGUAUAGUAGAGGCAAGUGGAAUUUCUAGUGUAGCGGUAAAAUGCGUAGAUAUUAGAAGGAACACCAGUGGCGAAGGCGACUUGCUGGACUAUUACUGACGCUGAGGCACGAAAGCGUGGGGAGCAAAUAGG